AGUCGAGGGGCAGCAUAAAUUACUUGUAAUUUGAUGGCGACCGGUGAACGGGUGCGUAACGCGUAUGCAACUUACCUUUUACUAGAGAAUAGCCAAGAGAAAUUUUGAUUAAUGCUCUAUGUUCUUAUUUACUCGCAUGAGUAAAUAAGCAAAGCUCCGGCGGUAAAAGAUGGGCAUGCGUCCUAUUAGCUUGUAGGUGAGGUAAUGGCUCACCUAAGCUCCGAUAGGUAGGGGUCCUGAGAGGGAGAUCCCCCACACUGGUACUGAGACACGGACCAGACUUCUACGGAAGGCAGCAGUAAGGAAUAUUGGACAAUGGAGGCAACUCUGAUCCAGCCAUGCCGCGUGAAGGAAGACGGCCUUAUGGGUUGUAAACUUCUUUUAUACAGGAAGAAACCUUUCCACGUGUGGAAAGCUGACGGUACUGUAAGAAUAAGGAUCGGCUAACUCCGUGCCAGCAGCCGCGGUAAUACGGAGGAUCCAAGCGUUAUCCGGAAUUAUUGGGUUUAAAGGGUCCGCAGGCUGUUUGUUAAGUCAGAGGUGAAAUCCUACCGCUCAACGGUAGAACUGCCUUUGAUACUGGCAAACUUGAGUUAUUGUGAAGUAGUUAGAAUGUGUAGUGUAGCGGUGAAAUGCAUAGAUAUUACACAGAAUACCGAUUGCGAAAGCAGAUUACUAACAAUAUACUGACGCUGAGGGACGAAAGCGUGGGUAGCGAACAGGAUUAGAUACCCUGGUAGAAGGGC
Molecule: ribosomal RNA, 746 nt
Filed under: uncultured Bacteroidota bacterium
Lineage: Bacteria; Pseudomonadati; Bacteroidota
Description: bacterial SSU rRNA
Rfam family: Bacterial small subunit ribosomal RNA
Source: RNAcentral